This 202-nucleotide long non-coding RNA is filed under the name Capsicum annuum. Its description in RNAcentral is "long non-coding RNA (CANN_LNC010408)". Lineage: Eukaryota; Viridiplantae; Streptophyta; Magnoliopsida; Solanales; Solanaceae. The record is from RNAcentral.
UAUGGCUACGCGCUAUAUACUGGGUACGGGGGUGGUGGAAUGGAAUAUAAAGGGUUUUGUGGAGGGUAGUAAUGGUGGGGAGAAAUAUAUGGAGCUUGGGCGUAGACUUGGGCUUGGGAUUGGGGAUAGGGGCGAGGUGGUCUUUUGGGAUAGGAAUGGGUUCCAGCUACAACAGUCGCCACGUCCUCUUUCUUCUUUUUAC